RNAcentral lists this ribosomal RNA (207 nucleotides) under uncultured bacterium. Its description in RNAcentral is "partial 16S ribosomal RNA". It matches the Rfam family "Bacterial small subunit ribosomal RNA", at positions 568 to 774 of the family's 1533-position model. The record is from RNAcentral.
CGCGUAGGCGGGAUGGCAAGUCGGUCGUGAAAUCCUUCGGCUCAACCGAAGAACGUCGGCCGAUACUGCCGUUCUUGAGGGAUGCAGAGGAGAUUGGAAUUCCCGGUGUAGCGGUGAAAUGUGUAGAGACCGGGAAGAACACCAGUGGCGAAGGCGGCUACCUGGACAGGUACUGACGCUGAAGCGCGAAAGCUAGGGGAGCAAACA